This is an RNA transcript of Nycticebus coucang (slow loris), 2231 nucleotides long. It is a transcript of the gene named ephrin A2, with no coding region annotated. The record is from RefSeq and is a predicted model, not a curated record. The transcript is spliced from 4 exons. NCBI's taxonomy places the organism in Eukaryota, Metazoa, Chordata, Mammalia, Primates, Lorisidae.
CCGCGCUCGAAGAGAGUCCGUGCGGCCGGGUCCCGCGUCGGGGCGCCCCCGGCGCCCCGCCCCGCCGCCGCCUGACUUCUCGGCGCCCGAGAUCGCCCUCGCGGAGGCGGGGGCGGCCGGGGAUCUCCAAGCGCUGCCGCGCCCUCCUCCCGCCCGCCCCGCGCCCGCCCGCUCGCUCGGUGGCGGCGGCGAAGAAGACGGCUGGCAGGCGGCGGCGGGAGCGCGAGCGCGGCGGGACCGGGGCCAUGGCGCCCGCGCAGCGCCCGGUGCUGUCGCUGCUGCUGCUGCUGCUGCCGCUGCCGCCGCCGCCCUUCACGCGCGCGGAGGACGCCGCCCGAGCCAACUCGGACCGCUACGCCGUCUACUGGAACCGCAGCAACCCCAGGUUCCACGCUGGCGGGGGUGACGACGGCGGUGGCUACACAGUGGAAGUGAGCAUCAACGACUACCUGGACAUCUACUGCCCGCACUACGGGGAGCCGCUGCCGCCGGUGGAGCGCAUGGAGCACUACGUGCUGUAUAUGGUCAACGGAGAGGGCCACGCCUCCUGCGACCACCGCCAGCGUGGCUUCAAGCGCUGGGAGUGCAACCGUCCGGCGGCGCCCGGGGGCCCGCUCAAGUUCUCCGAGAAGUUCCAACUCUUCACGCCCUUCUCGCUGGGCUUCGAGUUCCGCCCGGGCCACGAAUACUACUACAUCUGUGGAGCCGGACGCGGCUGCAAGUAUCACUACCUCAGCGAGUGGGCGUGGCCGUGCGGCCGGGGCCAGGGCCACAAAGAACGGCACCACGUCUGGCAGUGGACGAGGCCACGCGCGCUACAUCCGUGAGGAGGCGGGGCCGCGAGUACUACUCUGUGCGGGGGCAGAGAGGGACCAACUGGUUGGGAAAAGCGAUGGACCUGCCUUCAACCUCCCCACACUGAGACUAGGCCCUGCCCAUCUGCCAGUGCACUGAGGAGAGAAACUGAGGCAUCUGGAGCCCAGAGCGGGAGGGGAGUGUAGAGGAACCACAAUGUGAGGGCAGAUCCUUCGUUCUGCACUGGCCAUGAGCGGACUGGGAAGGGGGUUCCCUAGAUUUCCCCCAUCACCUGAAGCUGCCCUAUAUCUAGAGGGUCUCCAGUAGCGGAUUGGUUAGCAGAGCUUAAUAAUAGUCGGCUGGGUGGGGUUGGGGAAGGCUGCCCCUUCCUGCUGCCCAGGUGGGGUUGCAAGCUGGCCUUUAGCUCCCCAACAGCAGAGUCUGGCAGGGGUUCAAAACACUUCUUGGUCAUGACCUUGGCAGCCCUUUGCUCUUUGUGACCUUGGCCAGGAAUGGAGGGGGAGGGGGUCCAAGCACUGCCAACUGUGAGAUGGGAGUAAUGGCACUGCACUCGAUGUCUUGGCCAUUGUGCUAGACUGAGGGGUCCCAUGGUGUGUGGGAUCCCUGUUUCUCAUCAUCUGAGGGUGAUGGGGAGCUGCGUGGGGGGGGGAGCUUGGGUCUGGCCCCCAGGGCUGCAUGAAGGGGCCAGGUGCCUCCACACCCAGCUCCUGUGGUGUCGAACUUUACAAGGCCCAAUUUCCUCCUUUCUCUGCUCUUUUUGGAUUUUUCCCUUUUUUUUUGAGACAGAGUCUCACUCUGUCACCCUUGGUAGAGUGCUGUGGUGUCAUAGCUCACAGCAACCUCCAGUUCUUGGGCUUAGGCGAUUCUCUUGCCUCAGCCUCCUAAGUAGCUGGGACUACAGGCACCCACCACAACAACCUGGCUAUUUUUCUGUUGCAGUAUGGCCGGGGCCGGGUUCAAACCUGCCACCCUCGGUAUAUGGGGCCAGUGCCCUACUCACUGAGCCACAGGUGCCACCCUGGAUUUUUCCCUUUAAUUCAUGGAAGAACUGGGUGCGGAAGGAGGAAUAAGGUGUUUAAAUUAAGUCCUCAUAAUAUAAGAAAAAUUACAUUUUUCUUUCUAAGACAGGAGUUUCAUAAAGGUAAUUAUUGUAAUUAUUCGUCCUAUCUCUGUGACAAAUGAUAUUUUUAUUACGUGCUUUUUAUCUCUAUCUUCCAGCCUUAGGGGUUUUUGGGGAGCCAGCAGAGGUGACCUGACCUCUUCCCUCUGUGUGUGUGUACUCACACCUUUUUACUCUUGUCCAUAUGUGCAUUCUCCCCACUGGCUCCAGUUGGGCUUUAGGCUUCUUUUCCUCCUGACUCACCCCUGAUACUGUGGAGCACUCCCAUCCCUUACUGGGGCACUUCUUCUGUGGG